Molecule: ribosomal RNA, 519 nt
Filed under: Goniomonas pacifica
Lineage: Eukaryota; Cryptophyceae; Goniomonadida; Goniomonadaceae
Description: partial Bacterial small subunit ribosomal RNA
Rfam family: Bacterial small subunit ribosomal RNA
Source: RNAcentral
UGUAGAGUUUGAUCCUGGCUCAGAUUGAACGCUGGCGGCAUGCCUUACACAUGCAAGUCGAACGGUAACAGGUUAAGCUGACGAGUGGCGAACGGGUGAGUAAUGUAUCGGAACGUGCCCAGUCGUGGGGGAUAACUGCUCGAAAGAGCAGCUAAUACCGCAUACGACCUGAGGGUGAAAGCGGGGGAUCGCAAGACCUCGCGCGAUUGGAGCGGCCGAUAUCAGAUUAGGUAGUUGGUGAGGUAAAGGCUCACCAAGCCGACGAUCUGUAGCUGGUCUGAGAGGACGACCAGCCACACUGGGACUGAGACACGGACCAGACUCCUACGGGAGGCAGCAGUGAGGAAUCUUGCGCAAUGGGCGAAAGCCUGACGCAGCCACGCCGCGUGCCGGAAGACGGCCCUAUGGGUUGUAAACGGCUUUUGCCAGGGAAGAAAGCCCGGGGUUCGCCCUGGAUUGACGGUACCUGGUGAAUAAGCACCGGCUAACUCCGUGCCAGCAGCCGCGGUAAUACGGAGG